This 253-nucleotide ribosomal RNA is filed under the name uncultured bacterium. RNAcentral describes it as "partial 16S ribosomal RNA". It matches the Rfam family "Bacterial small subunit ribosomal RNA", at positions 524 to 776 of the family's 1533-position model. The record is from RNAcentral.
UACGUAGGUGGCAAGCGUUGUCCGGAUUUAUUGGGCGUAAAGAGCGUGUAGGCGGCUUGGUAGGUCCGCUGUGAAAACUCGAGGCUCAACCUCGAGAUGUCGGCGGAAACCACUUGGCUAGAGUCCGGAAGAGGAGAGUGGAAUUCCUGGUGUAGCGGUGAAAUGCGCAGAUAUCAGGAAGAACACCUAUGGCGAAGGCAGUUCUCUGGGACGGUACUGACGCUGAGACGCGAAAGCGUGGGGAGCAAACAGG